Long non-coding RNA from Harpia harpyja (harpy eagle), 1531 nucleotides. RefSeq lists it as uncharacterized. NCBI's taxonomy places the organism in Eukaryota, Metazoa, Chordata, Aves, Accipitriformes, Accipitridae. The record is from RefSeq and is a predicted model, not a curated record. The transcript is spliced from 3 exons.
UAUCUUUUCUAUAAAACAGACCUCUGUUCUGUAUCCAGUUCACUUGCUGUAGUUGUUUACCCAGGAAAUCUCUGGACUGAGAGUGUCUGUAAUGCACUGGGUUAGGCAGACAGGCAUGAGAAUUGUAACUAUGCAGUCUGGAUGAGGAGAGGAAGUACUGACUGGUUUCUUCCCCAUGCUCCUGAGGAAAAACCCCUUCAUAAAGAGUUGUAUGAAACAUGCGUUACCUAUUGACAUGUCUCGCAAAUACUGAGUCUGUUACAGUGUCCCUCGAAGAUUGCUACAGGGUUCUGUCACACCAAACCUCACCACUUCCACAUGAUUAAUUACUGCCAAGUCCAGUCUCAAGCAAGAACCAGUAAUGCAUGGAUAUAUUUGUGUAUGGUGUGGCAAAGCAUACAGGCAGAUGUAUAUACUUGUACGGAACAAAAGCUUCAAUAUAUGGGAAGUCUGGGGAAUGGCCCUCAUUAACAGGUGCUGCCUGCAGGAAGGAAGGGAUGCCUGCACCUGGCCUCAACAGACGUACCGGCUGUUUGAGGAGGUGAAAGCAGUGAAGAUUUUGGGGGAAAAAUGUUACGUCUUCAUGUGACUGCAGGAGGGAGAAAAGGAUACACAGAGGACCUGAAAUUCUCCAGCGAUGUUGCACAGUAUCUAAGGAUAUACUCCAAACCCAGUGCACCGCUGCAAAAACUCUGAUUUAUCUCAGCAUUCCCAAAAGUGUUUUUUUCUAUGGGUAAGAUUGCAUAGCUAUGUCUGCUGCUUGAUUCCAUUUUCUUUAGAAAAAUGUUCGAUGCUGUGCCCCAUACUUUCAGGCUCUCUGUAGCUGACUAAAACGGUGGAUAUCUUCCUAAAAUAGAUAGCCUGCUUCAACCACAAAUUGAUAGGGCUUUGACUAGAUAGAAUUAUAUGUGGUGCAGAAGGUCAGAUGGAUGAUCGUAAUUGUCCUGCUUGGCUUUAGAUCAUUGGAUUUACCUGAGUACUAAGUCUCUCCAUUCAGCAUGAUUCAAGAGAGUAAAAUCCAGAGCUCUAUAAAAUAGGAAUUGUACAUUCAACCAAAUGGAGAAUGGAUGAGUAUAGACAUAUGGCAGAUCCAUUUUUUCAGGCUGUUGAUAAUCUCAAAGAACAUGUAGUAACAGAACAAAUCAGCAUGUUGGUGGAGGUUCCCCCGCCACCCACAGCGAAUGAUAUUUUGGGGCAUAUGAAUAGGAGUCAAUUACAAUAACACAUCCCUUUCAAUCUGAGUAAUUUCUACUGAAAUCUGAGAUGACUACUGUCAAAAGGAGAUGUACAAAGGCAUAGCAUUCUUUCUGCUGUAUACUGCAACUACAUGCAAGAGAAGGCAAAUCACUUAAGGACUCUCUUGGAAGAAUUAACUUAGUGGAAAUAUGAAUGUCAGUUUCCUGACAUAGUUUAAAUGUUAAAUGACAGAUAACCUAGGAUCACCCAAACUAGAUGGCAAAGCUUUAUUGUAUGAUACUGUCUGACAAUGAAGUCCUGCAUCUUGACAAUUGAAUUAAAACAUUUCUUCACA